Molecule: ribosomal RNA, 910 nt
Filed under: Streptococcus mutans
Lineage: Bacteria; Bacillati; Bacillota; Bacilli; Lactobacillales; Streptococcaceae
Description: bacterial SSU rRNA
Rfam family: Bacterial small subunit ribosomal RNA
Source: RNAcentral
AAGUCAAGAACGUGUGUGAGGAAAGUUCACACAGUGACGGUAGCUUACCAGAAAGACGGCUAACUACGUGCCAGCAGCCGCGGUAAUACUAGGUCCCGAGCGUUGUGAUUUAUUGGGCGUAAAGGGAGCGCAGGCGGUCAGGAAAGUUGGAGUAAAAGGCUAUGGCUCAACCAUAGUGUGCUCUGGAAACUGUCUGACUGUGCAGAAGGGGAGAGUGGAAUUCCAUGUGUAGCGGUGAAAUGCGUAAUAUAUGGAGGAACACCAGUGGCGAAAGCGGCUCUCUGGUGACGCUGAGGCUCGAAAGCGUGGGUAGCAUUAGCCCUGGUAGUCACGCCGUAAACGAUGAGUGCUAGGUGUUAGGCCCUUUCCGGGGCUUAGUGCCGGAGCUAACGCAAUAAGCACUCCGCCUGGGGAGUACGACCGCAAGGUUGAAACCAAAGGAAUUGACGGGGGCCCGCACAAGCGGUGGAGCAUGUGGUUUAAUUCGAAGAACGCGAAGAACCUUAGUCUUGACAUCCCGAUGCUAUUCUUAGAGAUAGGAAGUUACUUCGGUACAUCGGAGACAGGUGGUGCAUGGUUGUCGUCAGCUCGUGUCGUGAGAUGUUGGGUUAAGGCAACGAGCGCAACCCUUAUUGUUAGUUGCCAUCAUUAAGUUGGGCACUCUAGCGAGACUGCCGGUAAUAAACCGGAGGAAGGUGGGGAUGAGUCAAAUCAUCAUGCCCCUUAUGACCUGGGACACACGUGCUACAAUGGGGUACAACGAGUUGCGAGCCGGUGACGGCAACUAAUCUCUGAAAGCCGAUCUAUUGGAGGUGCAACUCGCCUCCAUGAAGUCGGAUCGCUAGUAAUCGCGGAUCAGCAGAAUACGUUCCCGGGCCUUGUACACACCGCCCGUCACACCACGAGAGUU